CGUUUAUACCGUGUUCAAUGUAUACUUGAGAUCGAAGCCAAUGUACGAAUUCUAGAUAGAUUAUCUUUGGACGCUCGUACCUUCUGAAUAAGUCAAGUAAACGAAAGCCAUCUGGACUAAAUAUGCAGAGGCGUUGUAGUCAAUGUAGACAGAAUGUUAAAAAAAUUUAUCUAUGGAAUGAAUUUGAUGUGGUUUUGCGAUACCCCACGACCACAGUCAUACAAUCGGACUUCGCAGCCAAGAAUUCGUAAUUCGUUCAUUUGAAUAUGUAAAGACUCUUCCAGCCUUGUUGUUGUUGUUGUUGUUGUUGUUGCUGUUGUUGUUGUUGUUAUUCAUGAUGAUGCUGUUGAUGAUUUUGUUGCUGCUGUCGUUACUGUUGUUGUUGUUACUCAGUGUUGACUGUUGUUGUUACUCAGUGUUGUUGUUGUUGUUACUCAGUGUUGACUGUUGUUGUUACUCAAUGUUGUUGUUG
Molecule: non-coding RNA, 472 nt
Organism: Paramuricea clavata
Lineage: Eukaryota; Metazoa; Cnidaria; Anthozoa; Malacalcyonacea; Plexauridae
Source: the annotation of a GenBank genome assembly